RNAcentral lists this ribosomal RNA (406 nucleotides) under uncultured bacterium. RNAcentral's name for it is "partial 16S ribosomal RNA". It matches the Rfam family "Bacterial small subunit ribosomal RNA", at positions 29 to 526 of the family's 1533-position model. The record is from RNAcentral.
AUUGAACGCUGGCGGCAGGCCUAACACAUGCAAGUCGAACGAGUGGCGGACGGGUGAGAAAUGUCUGGGAAACUGCCUGGUGGAGGGGAAUAACUUCUGGAAACGGUAGCUAAUACCGCAUAGCAUCAGAUGGGCCCAGAUGGGAUUGGCUUGUUGGAGGGGUAACGGCUCACCAAGGCGACGAUCCCUAGCUGGUCUGAGAGGAAGACGGGCCACACUGGAACUGGGACCCGGUCAGACCCCCUACGGGAGGCAGCAGUGGGGAUCAUUGCACAAGGGGCGCAAGCCUAAUGCAGCCAUGCGGCGGAUUGGAAGAAGGCCUUCGGGUUGUAAAGUACUUUCAUCGGGGAGGCGUUACCCGCAGAAGAAGCACCGGCUAACUACGUGCCAGCAGCCGCGGUAAUAC